GAACAGCCUGGGCAUCUGGUACUAAGCGUAUUCGCCUAGAGCUGGACUGAUGCCAUGAUGUUCCUAUGGUGACCCCCUGGAUUGGGAGAUUUCAGGACAUUCCAGGCAUUCUGUUACGGGACGUAGGGUAAUUUGUCGGGUAUGUUCCAGUGUGGGGCUGCACGUGAUUCCUUGACAAGAUCCUUCUUUCUUUUCAUGGAUAAUCAAAAAUUCUGUGGAAACUCUCAGAGAACAUGUGACCAGUUUUGUGCACAAAAAAGUAGAUGUAUUUAACAAUCCAAACUGAUGGAAAUGGUUCAUGUUCAAAAUUUGCUGACCUUCUCUGCCUUCAAGUGGAUCUGGAAAGCCAAGGUCAUGCAUUCAAGUUGGAAACGAAAUACAAACAUAGCCAAAACAAAUACACAAUUGAUGCCAAAAAGUCUUUUUUCUUUCUUUCUUUUUUUCUUAGUGGACUCAACUCUUUAUGCAUGGUGUCAUAAAAAAACAACUUAAUAUUAAUUAAAUGUAAUUUGCACAAAGCAAUGUGUAUAUUUGUGUGUAC
Long non-coding RNA from Megalobrama amblycephala (Wuchang bream), 541 nucleotides. RefSeq lists it as uncharacterized. The record is from RefSeq and is a predicted model, not a curated record. The transcript is spliced from 4 exons. Lineage: Eukaryota; Metazoa; Chordata; Actinopteri; Cypriniformes; Xenocyprididae.